RNAcentral lists this ribosomal RNA (464 nucleotides) under uncultured bacterium. RNAcentral describes it as "partial 16S ribosomal RNA". It matches the Rfam family "Bacterial small subunit ribosomal RNA", at positions 28 to 507 of the family's 1533-position model. The record is from RNAcentral.
GACGAACGCUGGCGGCGUGCUUAACACAUGCAAGUCGAACGGAAAGGCCCUGCUUGCAGGGUACUCGAGUGGCGAACGGGUGAGUAACACGUGGGUGAUCUGCCCUGCACUUCGGGAUAAGCCUGGGAAACUGGGUCUAAUACCGGACAGGAGCCAUUUUUAGUGUGAUGGUUGGAAAGUUUUUUCGGUGUAGGAUGAGCUCGCGGCCUAUCAGCUUGUUGGUGGGGUAAUGGCCUACCAAGGCGGCGACGGGUAGCCGGCCUGGGAGGGUGGACGGCCACAUUGGGACUGAGAUACGGCCCAGACUCCUACGGGAGGCAGCAGUGGGGAAUAUUGCACAAUGGGCGCAAGCCUGAUGCAGCGACGCCGCGUGGGUGAUGACGGCCUUCGGGUUGUAAACUCCUUUCGCUAGGGACGAAGCUUUUGUGACGGUACCUAGAUAAGAAGCACCGGCUAACUACGUG